UGGCACCUGUGUUCUGGCCACUUUUUCUCCAAAUCUUCUGCUUCUUUGUCCUGCAUUCCUUCCAUGGAGACCCCACCCUGCAUCCAGAGGACAUUUCUGGGGCCCCUUGCUUCACCUGGCAUGAUCCCAGCUCCUCACCAUUGUCUAAGCUAUGCCCUCUGCUAGUAUGCCCUCCCUCCUGCACCUGGGGCCAUUCACUCCUGCACCGCCCAAGCACCGAGGGACUGCUUGGCAAGGAAACAGGCAGAAUGGAAGAUCCGUGAGGUCAAGAACUGUGUUUUGUGCACUGCUGCAUCCCCGCUUCUUAGAGGAACAUGUGCCAUAUCGAUGUUUAAUGAAUAAACAAAGGAAUGCAAUACAAGAUGACAUAACAUGGGCCUAAUGAACCCAUCCAAACUGCGGGAGAAGAUGCAGGGACACAUCUUACAUGGUGCGUAGAGGUGGUUCUUCUCUCUCUGCCGCUGGGGAUGAACAAUAAACAACCGGCCUCAGCUGCAAAGGGAAGCAGUGCUGAGGGCAAAAUGAACAUUGACAAGAAGGCCAAAAAUCAUGACGAAAUGGGCGGCAACUGGUCACCCCAUGCCUGGGCUCACACUUCCUCCUGAUUUCCUGCCCAGAAGUGUGCUUAUUUAUCAGGUCACUUUAACUCAGAAACCCACUGACAUGUUCAAAGCUCUAAGAUUUAGGGUGAUCUAAUGGUUUUCUUUUUUCAAUCCUCCAAGACAUCUGAAUAACUUUCUUCUUGACAAAGUGUCACUUCCAUAUUUCCGGCACUAAACUUGUGGGAUUUUAAAGAUAAAACCAGAAAAAAAUAUUGACAAGAAAGAAGCAAUUUCUAUUCCCGGGUUUCUUCAGGGUCUUUCUGUUUGGAAGCAGCUGUGUAGAAGGGCUGGGCUGGCUGUUAACUUCAUCACGCUGGUUUCAGAGCACUGACCUCACUGUUGACUUUGGAACAUGUUCUAGGCUCUGAAAAGAAAAGAGAGUCUCCACCAAGUAACUCCAUGGGAUUAAAAGCAACUACAAGCAAUAGUUUCCUUUGAAGCUCAGCUCUGAAGAGAACCCAUUCAUUUCAUAAUCAAAUUAGAUCAGAGGGUGAGAAGGCAGCCCAGCAGAAGGUCCUCAUGAGAUCUCCCAGCCCUUGGAUCUGAGGAAUAACUGAGGAAGAGUUGGUCUUAAGAGAAGAGAUAUUAGCCGGGUGGGGUAGCUCACGCCUGCAAUCCCAGCACUUUGGGAAGCUGAGGCAGGUGGAUCACCUGAGGUCAGGAAUUCCAGACUAGCCUGGCUAACAUUGUGAAACCCCAUCUCUAUUAAAAAUAAAAAAUUAGCUGACCGUGGUAGCAGGUGCCUGUAAUCCCAGCUACUCAGGAGGCUGAGGCAGGAGAAUUGCUUGAACCCAAGAGGGGAAGUUUGCAGUGAGCCAAGAUGGCGCCAUUGCACUCCAGCCUGGGGGACAAGAACAAGAUUUCAUCUAAAAAAAAAAAAGAAAAAAAAGAAGAGGCAUCAUCUUUAGCAAACUAACACAGUAACAGAAAACCAACUACCACAUUUUCUUACUUAUAACUAGGAGCUAAAUGAUGAGAAGUCAUGGACACAAAGAGCGGAACAACAGACACUGGGGCCUACUUGACAAUGGAGGGUGGGAGGAGGGAGAUCAGAAAACUUAACUAUUGGGUACUAGGCUUAGUGCCUCGGUGAUGAAAUAAUCUGCACAACACACCCCAUGAUAUGAAUUUACCUAUCUAACAAAAAUUCACAUGUACCCCUGAACCUAAAAGUUAAAAAAAAAAAUUAAAGUUGAAAACAUUAAAAAUAAAAUUAAAAAAAA
This 1825-nucleotide long non-coding RNA is filed under the name Homo sapiens (human). RNAcentral's name for it is "HSALNT0144348". The record is from RNAcentral. Lineage: Eukaryota; Metazoa; Chordata; Mammalia; Primates; Hominidae.